Long non-coding RNA from Brassica napus (rape), 2597 nucleotides. RefSeq lists it as uncharacterized. The transcript has 3 exons. Lineage: Eukaryota; Viridiplantae; Streptophyta; Magnoliopsida; Brassicales; Brassicaceae. The record is from RefSeq and is a predicted model, not a curated record.
ACUACUUUUUAGAUAAUAUUAUAAAAUUUUAAUUUUUUGAUUUUUAAUAUUUUAAUGGUAAAAUCCCUCAAUUAUGUUUACUUAAUGUAAAAACCCUUAAACUAAAGAUUUAGCAUUAGUAAUGGUAAUUAUGAUCUGGUAGGGUUGAAUUCAUUAAAUAAAGCUAGUUUGGGGAUCUUUCGUUAAAUACUUAGUUUGAAGAUUUUUAACCAACACAAACUUAUUUAAAGGGUUUUAACGUUAAAAGUCCUAAUUAAAAUUGAAGUUUAUGUCCCUUCAUGAUAAUCACAAUACUAAAAGCCAGAUAUCCUGAGUUUUUAGGCUGUCCACGUCCCCAAAGAAAAUCGACCAAUGGGAAGUUGUUUUUUUGUCACAUCACACACGGAUGUGACACGUGUCUCUUCUUUAAAAAAAAAUUUAGAUUCGUGACUUCUAUUGGGGUCAUACGGGAAAAGUUUUGGCCCGUUAAAAAUUGGUUCUUUCGUCCUUCUAUCUUCUUCACGAUGCGUUGUUCCUAAGGUUCCUCGUAUUUCCUCGAAGCUUUGAUAAGUUCCAGCGUUAAUGAAUGCGAGUGAGACGAAUGUUGCGAAGAAGCUCUCUGUCAAGCUUCGAUUUGUCGUUUCGUCUUUGAUUCUUAUCGGUGACGUUACGAGAUUCCUUGAUUCAUCCCCUUUAAGAAACUUCUUAACUCCAUCAAGCACGAUGUCUCAUUCAAUGGGUGGUGGAUCUCCACCUAUAAAAAGGUCAGCCUUCAUACCCUGAUCAUCAUCCUCACACUUCCUAACAGUAUAAACUUUUUUAACACAUUUUUUUAUAGAAAUUUUGAUCGAGUUCAGACAUUGAAACAAAGUUGAUCUCAGCUGAUAAUGGCAAGGAGACUCCAACUUCUUUGAUUCUUACAACUUCCAAUUCAAAGGUUUUUUAUUUCACAAUCUUUUUCUCUUGCCUCUGACUAUAAAAAAGUGAUAUUCUUUAUGGAUUCCUGAUAGUUUAGUCCAAGAUAUUCUCUUGAAAUGUUUGAUUUUGUGUUUGUGAUCAAGUUUCGAGAGAGAUUGUUGGACCCAAGAGAAGCAAGCAUGAUUAAGCUGGAAGCAAUAAAAACUUAACGGAGACGUGUAUGUGGGAUAUCACAAUGUUGAAGUUGAUUCUUAGAUGCAUCAACGUGGUUAGCUCCAACACGAUCGUAGCCAGUUGAUUGGUAGCCUUGAGGUGUCAAUCGAUACAAAGCUUCAAACAUCCACUGUGAAGAUUGACAGUGUUUAUUUUGGCCACUAUAUCUCUCUAACAAUCAUGAUUUUGAACUGGCAUGAGAGGUUAAUCCGAGUUCGGAUUGAUCGAGUAUGCUGUUAUACGCUGAUAAAGAUUUGAUUCCCUUUUUCUAUCGCAAUGUCUCUUUUAGUAUAUCAAUAUAUGCGUCUAUAUUUCUACUUCAGUGACCCAUAAUUUUAUUAGUCGGCAGACCGUUGCUGCCUAACUGACUCUAAAAGCUUUGUGCUGACAGGUAAAGGGCAUCUGAAGUACUUCUACAAUCCUGUGUAUACACAUUAAAAGUUGGUUAGUAUCAGUUUGAGUGGUACUCCAUCAGUGGCUCUUCUCUGGGACCCAUGAAACAGACCGACUGCUGCAGAGGCUCUGUACGUCCCGUUCUUUCAGAUUCAACCGCAAGUGUGGCCAGAGAUAGUCCCCCUGAAACGACGAUACCAAUGGGAUAAAGUGUUGUAGUCGGAUUUUUUGAAUACCUUAAGUUGAGUAGCGGUAUGAACUAGAGCAGAGUGAUCUGCGGCCACUACAUCUUGAAGAAUAAAAAUGGAAGGAGUGAGGCCAAAAAAAAAAAAAGACAUGCGAGGGAGUGACGGAGUGAGGGAGAGAGGGGGAGAGAGGUGAGUGCAGGUAAAAAGUAAAAUCAUGUUGUGAACAUUAAUCUAAAAAGUAAAAUCAUGCUGUGAACAUUAAUCUGCAUCGAAGUUAAUUUAACUGCUUCCACCGUAAUAUUUUAUUUUUCUUUUGCGUUGGUUUUAUUCUGGAUGAAGAAUAGAAAGAUUAAUCAAGUGUUGUGAUGCAGAUGUAGCUAUCAUUGGAUAACUAUUUACUUCAGGUUUGGAAGAUCACCAUGAGGAAUUUCCCCUGAGAAGUUGUUUGCAGGGUUCAAGACUCUAAGUCUGGCCAAACUUGAAAGAGAGGCUGAGAUGCUUCCCUUGAGUUUUUUAAAUAUCAAGAACCUUAAGAUUCUUUAACUCCUGGAAAAUCGCUGGUAAUGGACCCGGAAAGUGAUUAAGUGUAAGAUAGAGAUGAGUCAGGUUCUUGAGGUUGAUGAUAGAAACUGGCUUUUGAUUCUAUCUGUAACAAAUAAUUCUUUAGCUGGAGAAUAUUUGCUGAUAAAAUAUGUGUUGUGUUGUGAAACUGGAAAGAUACGCGGGCAAUGUAUAGCCGGUAAAAAAUAUAUGUUUUACAGUCCAGAAAAAAAUUGACGGAGCCAUUAACAAAUCGUGAUCAUUUCUCUUCGUUUAAGUUUUUGAUUGUUCUGUUAUUUGAUUCUUGCGUGAAAAAAUUCCCACUGGUGUAACAAUUUCUUUAUAAGUGAAAAUAGGAAUAUAUUG